Molecule: long non-coding RNA, 213 nt
Filed under: Anser brachyrhynchus (Pink-footed goose)
Lineage: Eukaryota; Metazoa; Chordata; Aves; Anseriformes; Anatidae
Description: lncRNA (ENSABRG00000005493.1)
Source: RNAcentral
UGAAGCUACUUGGUUCUAUAGUUAAAUUACAGUUUUGGAGCAGAAGACAAAAAGGCUCAAAGAGUAUGUCAAUGUUCAUUAUGUUCUUUUCUUUUCCAAGUGAUAAAGGUUAAAAAUGGAGGAGGAGAAAACAAAAACAAACAAACAAACAUGCCAGCAUCUUGUAGCAAAAGAUGUUGUCACCAGCUGAUCCUGUGUGCCCUUUCAUUUAUU